GUAGGUGGCAAGCGUUGUCCGGAAUUAUUGGGCGUAAAGCGCGCGCAGGCGGUUCUUUAAGUCUGAUGUGAAAGCCCACGGGCUCAACCGUGGAGGGUCAUUGGAAACUGGAGAACUUGAGUACAGAGGAGGAAAGCGGAAUUCCACGUGUAGCGGUGAAAUGCGUAGAGAUGUGGAGGAACACCAGUGGCGAAGGCGGCUUUCUGGUCUGUAACUGACGCUGAGGCGCGAAAGCGUGGGGAGCAAACAGGAUUAGAUACCCUGGUAGUCCACGCCGUAAACGAUGAGUGCUAAGUGUUAGGGGGUUUCCGCCCCUUAGUGCUGCAGCUAACGCAUUAAGCACUCCGCCUGGGGAGUACGGCCGCAAGGCUG
This 372-nucleotide ribosomal RNA is filed under the name uncultured organism. RNAcentral describes it as "partial 16S ribosomal RNA". It matches the Rfam family "Bacterial small subunit ribosomal RNA", at positions 527 to 896 of the family's 1533-position model. The record is from RNAcentral.